UCCCUUGUAGCUCAGUUGGUAAAGAAUCUGCCUGCAAUGCAGGAGAUCCAGGUUCGAUUCCUAGGUGGGAA
Molecule: transfer RNA, 71 nt
Filed under: Bos taurus (domestic cattle)
Lineage: Eukaryota; Metazoa; Chordata; Mammalia; Artiodactyla; Bovidae
Also listed under: 3 other names
Rfam family: tRNA
About the family: Transfer RNA (tRNA) molecules are approximately 80 nucleotides in length. Their secondary structure includes four short double-helical elements and three loops (D, anti-codon, and T loops).
Source: Rfam by way of RNAcentral